CUCUCCCCAGCCAGAGACGGAGAACUCGUGAGGCCAAAAUGAGGGACGACUUUGGGUCCUCCCAGUUCACAUCAUUACAUCAAGAAAAUAUUGUUGUUUUUGGUUGGCGUUCUCAUAUAUUGCUAGCAUUCAAUGAAAGCCAAAAAUUUCCAGAUAAUGGAUGGAAUCGGAAGGCCUGUGUUGUUCAUAACGAAACUGUUGGCUGAAGGCGGUUAUCAAGAUGGUUUCUUAAAUGCUUUUGGUUUUUAAAAAGGAAAUCUUUGUUAGCUUUUCCUCUUCGCUUAUGCUUUGUUUUUAUUAAUAUUUUUUGUUUACAAUGUGUGGCUACGCGUUGUCACGCAAGAGGAAGCCUUUGCGUCAGUUAACUUAUUUUGUGGAUACUUCGGCUAAUAAUAUGUUCUACUGUAGAAUUUGUUUAAUACAUAAAUGGAUAAACAAAUAUAAUAAUCAUAUAAAAUAUAUAGGCGCCGUGCAGAAUAACUCAUGUGCCUUAUGGAAAAUUGGGUAAAAUAUGUCGAACAUAUAUGUAUUGUAGCAUACUUGAAGGGCUCUUAACGAAAUGACUAGCUUGCCGAAAUUGGGGGGUCCAUAAG
Glossina fuscipes is the source of this 593-nucleotide long non-coding RNA. RefSeq lists it as uncharacterized. The transcript has 3 exons. Lineage: Eukaryota; Metazoa; Arthropoda; Insecta; Diptera; Glossinidae. The record is from RefSeq and is a predicted model, not a curated record.